This 827-nucleotide ribosomal RNA is filed under the name Saphobiamorpha sp. sp173. RNAcentral describes it as "SSU rRNA". It matches the Rfam family "Eukaryotic small subunit ribosomal RNA", at positions 470 to 1255 of the family's 1831-position model. RNAcentral also lists the same sequence under 1 other name. Lineage: Eukaryota; Metazoa; Arthropoda; Insecta; Coleoptera; Scarabaeidae. The record is from RNAcentral.
ACGAAAAAUAACGAUACGGGACUCAUCCGAGGCCCCGUAAUCGGAAUGAGUACACUCUAAACCCUUUAACGAGGAUCAAUUGGAGGGCAAGUCUGGUGCCAGCAGCCGCGGUAAUUCCAGCUCCAAUAGCGUAUAUUAAAGUUGUUGCGGUUAAAAAGCUCGUAGUCGAAUUUGUGUCCCGCGCCGCCGGUUCAUCGCUCGCGGUGUCAACUGGCGUGUCCGCGGGACGUCCUGCCGGUGGGCUCAGCCCCCCGUGGGCGGCCCAAUCUCAAUCCCACCGCGGUGCUCUUCACUGAGUGUCGAGGUGGGCCGGCACGUUUACUUUGAACAAAUUAGAGUGCUUAAAGCAGGCUAAAACAUCGCCUGAAUACUGUGUGCAUGGAAUAAUGGAAUAGGACCUCGGUUCUAUUUUGUUGGUUUUCGGAACCCCGAGGUAAUGAUUAAUAGGAACGGAUGGGGGCAUUCGUAUUGCGACGUUAGAGGUGAAAUUCUUGGAUCGUCGCAAGACGGACAGAAGCGAAAGCAUUUGCCAAAAACGCUUUCAUUGAUCAAGAACGAAAGUUAGAGGUUCGAAGGCGAUCAGAUACCGCCCUAGUUCUAACCAUAAACGAUGCCAGCUAGCGAUCCGCCGACGUUCCUCCGAUGACUCGGCGGGCAGCUUCCGGGAAACCAAAGCUUUUGGGUUCCGGGGGAAGUAUGGUUGCAAAGCUGAAACUUAAAGGAAUUGACGGAAGGGCACCACCAGGAGUGGAGCCUGCGGCUUAAUUUGACUCAACACGGGAAACCUCACCAGGCCCGGACACCGGAAGGAUUGACAGAUUGAGAGC